Molecule: transfer RNA, 78 nt
Filed under: Haloferax volcanii
Lineage: Archaea; Methanobacteriati; Methanobacteriota; Halobacteria; Halobacteriales; Haloferacaceae
Description: tRNA-Glu
Rfam family: tRNA
About the family: Transfer RNA (tRNA) molecules are approximately 80 nucleotides in length. Their secondary structure includes four short double-helical elements and three loops (D, anti-codon, and T loops). Further hydrogen bonds mediate the characteristic L-shaped molecular structure. tRNAs have two regions of fundamental functional importance: the anti-codon, which is responsible for specific mRNA codon recognition, and the 3' end, to which the tRNAs corresponding amino acid is attached (by aminoacyl-tRNA synthetases). tRNAs cope with the degeneracy of the genetic code in two manners: having more than one tRNA (with a specific anti-codon) for a particular amino acid; and 'wobble' base-pairing, i.e. permitting non-standard base-pairing at the 3rd anti-codon position.
Source: RNAcentral
GCUCGGUUGGUGUAGUCCGGCCAAUCAUCUUGGCCUUUCGAGCCGAGGACCAGGGUUCGAAUCCCUGACCGAGCACCA